AAUGAACGUUGGCGGCGUGGAUUAGGCAUGCAAGUCGAGCGCGAACCGUAGCAAUACGGGGAAAGCGGCGAAAGGGACAGUAAUGGGUAGAUCAUCUGCCCUUGGGACCGGGAUAGCUGCGGGAAACUGCAGGUAAUACCGGAUAACAUCUCCGGAUCAAAGGUGUGAUUCCGCCCGAGGAUGAGUCUGCCUCCUAUUAGCUUGUUGGUGGGUAACGGCCUACCAAGGCAUCGAUGGGUAGCGGGUGUGAGAGCACGACCCGCGUCAUUGGGACUGAGACACUGCCCAGACACCUACGGGUGGCUGCAGUCGAGAAUCUUCGGCAAUGGGCGCAAGCCUGACCGAGCGACACCGCGUGUGGGAUGAAGGCC
RNAcentral lists this ribosomal RNA (371 nucleotides) under uncultured bacterium. Its description in RNAcentral is "bacterial SSU rRNA". It matches the Rfam family "Bacterial small subunit ribosomal RNA", at positions 29 to 416 of the family's 1533-position model. The record is from RNAcentral.